GUCCAGACUCCUACGGGAGGCAGCAGUGGGGAAUAUUGCACAAUGGGGGAAACCCUGAUGCAGCGACGCCGCGUGAGCGAUGAAGUAUUUCGGUAUGUAAAGCUCUAUCAGCAGGGAAGAAGAUGACGGUACCUGACUAAGAAGCCCCGGCUAACUACGUGCCAGCAGCCGCGGUAAUACGUAGGGGGCAAGCGUUAUCCGGAUUCACUGGGUGUAAAGGGAGCGUAGACGGCGACGCAAGUCUGGAGUGAAAGCCCGGGGCCCAACCCCGGGACUGCUCUGGAAACUGCGUCGCUGGAGUACGGGAGGGGCAGGCGGAAUUCCUGGUGUAGCGGUGAAAUGCGUAGAUAUUAGGAGGAACACCAGUGGCGAAGGCGGCCUGCUGGACGACAACUGACGGUGAGGCGCGAAAGCGUGGGGAGCAAACAGGAUUAGAUACCCUCGUAU
RNAcentral lists this ribosomal RNA (447 nucleotides) under uncultured bacterium. Its description in RNAcentral is "bacterial SSU rRNA". It matches the Rfam family "Bacterial small subunit ribosomal RNA", at positions 329 to 793 of the family's 1533-position model. The record is from RNAcentral.